CCCUUAGAUGUUCUGGGCCGCACGCGCGCUACAAUGAUGAAUUCAACGAGUUUAUAACCUUGGUUGAAAAGCCUGGGUAAUCUUUUGAACUUUCGUCGUGAUGGGGCUAGAUCCUUGCAAUUAUUGGUCUCCAACGAGGAAUUCCUAGUAAACGCAAGUCAUCAGCUUGCAUUGAUUACGUCCCUGCCCUUUGUACACACCGCCCGUCGCACCUACCGAUUGAAUGGUCCGGUGAAAUCUUCGGAUUGAGACUUUGUUUUCUUCACGGAAAACGCUGUUUUAAAAAGUUGAUUAAACCUUACCAUUUAGAGGAAGGUGAAGUCGUAACA
This 329-nucleotide ribosomal RNA is filed under the name uncultured eukaryote. RNAcentral describes it as "partial 18S ribosomal RNA". It matches the Rfam family "Eukaryotic small subunit ribosomal RNA", at positions 1470 to 1796 of the family's 1831-position model. The record is from RNAcentral.